Long non-coding RNA from Taeniopygia guttata (zebra finch), 5508 nucleotides. Lineage: Eukaryota; Metazoa; Chordata; Aves; Passeriformes; Estrildidae. The record is from Ensembl.
UUUUUUUUUUUUUUUUUUUCACUGCUGCUGGAAAGAGCUACAAGAUUUGGCCUGCAAACCCCGAGACUCUUCUCCAAAAAGAUAUUUGACUUUCAACUCUGUGCAGAAAAUGUGACUGCAGCAGCUGCUGUGCUGAGGCUGCAGACACAGAGAGAGCUCGACCAGCAGGAAGGAUGGCUUAUCACUUCCCUCCUAAGUGACAAAUCAAUAAAGGCUCUUCAAAACCAACCCCACAGGUCACACUGCAGCAACAAGUCUGUAAGCACAGGCACGGCUCAGUCUCACAGGUGGGAGCAAAGGCUCAGUGCUGCAAUGGAAAACCUCAAAAGCACAGGGCCAAAAGAAAGCAGCAUAACACCAAGAGAUGCACACUAAUUUCCACAGAAACUGCCCUGUUUGCAGCACACCCCUGGAGCAGGAAGGGGCCAGUGGAAAAUUUCUAGAAGGUACCAGGUGCUGGCCUGCACUGCCCUCAGCAUGGGCAGGACACAGUGGCUGGCUAAAGUGCAGGUUCAGAAAAAAGAUGUUUUUGCAAAUGUAGGACCUUAGGUUGGGCCUGAACUUGGAGCAGUCAGAACAACAUUUAAGAGGCUGAUUAACUGCCCUGAAGCAGACUGAGAAAGUUCCAGGUACAGCCCUGAGUCAGGCUCUUCACUCCCACCCACAGUGGGGCAACAUCCCACUGGUGGCAUCACCCUCCGUGAGUGGCUCUCCUGGCUUUCUGGAAUUCACAGUGUUUAGCAGUCUCUUGUAAAUACUGAAAUAGAUCUAAUUAUUCAUUUAUCCAGGAGAAAGGAAUCUCCUGCUGUUUCCUACAACCAGGCAAAAUGGCCAAUUGCAGCAAUGCAGGCGAGAAAGGCACAUAGCAGCCCAGUCCCAUCUGGGGCACGUGCAGGAAGGCUCUCCCUCACUCUGCAGGCAUCUGCCAGCCCUGCACCUCUCAUCAGAAGUGUUUGUACACACAGCAGAAAAUUCAAGGUUGUUUUUUGGGUUUUUUUUGCUACUCAAUAAAACACACAAGCCCAAACCAGUGAAUUCUCCAAACCCAAAUGGCGCCAAUGCAGAGCAGCCCAGCCACAACCUCUUCCAUCACCUUGGAGGAGGGGUGGAUCUCAGCUGUGAUGAGGUGCCCAGACAGCCUGGUUCCCAUGUCCUCUUGCAUUGCUUUGCUCCUCUGUGGGCCAUGGAGCAGAAAAUAGGAGUGACAGCAGCCCUGCUCUCCGUGGCUCCCUGGCAGCUCACUUAGGCUGUAAUGAAUGGGAGCUGAAAGCUCCUUGGGCUGACAGCCCCAAACACCAACUGUGGAGCUGCAAGUUGCUCACACACCUACAGAGGACACAGGACAGAGUGCAAAGACAAAGCUUUUAAUCACCUUGUGUGUUAUCAGAUCCCCUCCUACUUGCACGGAGAAGAUUAAUGUCUUUGGGUCACUGGCUCCUGACAGUGCUGCCAUCAUUCCUCCCUCUUUGAGCUUCCUUUCUCAGUUUUGUGUUUUAAAUAUUUCACUUUCUUUCUCUUUUCUUCCUGCAGCCAUUUUGCCAUGGCAUGGUGUUCCUCCAGCAUGCAGGGACAAGCUCUUUGCUCCACAGAUCCUUUCCCAAGGGAGCACCAUGUCUGUACCCACAGGAAACCCCAUCCCACCUGCUGAGAGGGAUUCAGAAAGCCAAAUUUUUUAGCUUUCCCUCUCCUUAAUGAACUAUCAUUUCCAGCCCUUGCAUGGCCCAGGAUGUUGAACACCCCCUCGUUUUGCUUUGCCCUUCCCUGUGUGGCUGAGUGCCCGGAGAUGCUCCCAUGCCAUCCAUGCCUGCAGAUCCUGGGCUGCUCCCCAGGCCAGGCAGAGCAGGGGGAAGAGCAAGCACAAAGCCCCAAACCUGCCACCCACCAGCACCAUGAGGCAGAAGGGAAUUCCCUGAGUUAAACUGAGGUAGUUGGCAAUACAGAUGGAAAACUCUCCUUUUCCAGAAAGAGCAUGAGUCAGCUCUGUCUGAUCAAGGGACAAGGGAAUGGUUCCAGCAGCAGAAAGCACAGAUAGAGGAGUUGUAAUUCCAUUAACUCCUUUAUGGCUUGUUUUCCAGCCCAGAAAUAAUCAAUAGAAGUUACAGAACGUACUAAAUUAUGCUCCGCUUAUUUUUCUAAAAUUAUGAACAACUUUAAGAGCUUGUUGUCAACACCAACUGCCAGAAAGGCAAACUAGCAGACUCCAUAAUCUCAGCUUUAAGAAUCUGGCCAUUCCCAAAUUUCUUUCAAAGUCAUGAAUAUUUUAAAACUAACAUAGCCUCUUGUUCCUUUAAUUUGAUUUUUUUCUUAUUAUUUCUCAAUUUCUCAGCCAUCCAUAUACCCCUGCAUCACGAUCUUAGAGUUUCUUCUACAACCACAAGCUGUUUCAUAAUUACAGCUUUUAUUGUGUUCCAGACAUGGAUGUUGUCAGUCAAUAUUUGAAAGUUCACAGUAGGUUUGUGACAAAGCAAUCCUGAAUCAUCUCAGUUUAUGCAGGAAUCCAGGCUGUGUUUAUUUUACUCCUACCCAACAAAGCAGAUACUGCUCUGAGUGUGGCCAGCUGAAGUCACAGCUGGUGGGUCAGCUCAGCUCUCGAGUCAGGGCUCCAUGUCUUGCUGCUUCCCAGCCUGGGCUGGUAUUUCGUGCCCAACCUCAGGUCAGGUCUGUGCUGUUGCAGCUCACAAAUGCACAAAUAUUUGUUAUGGUUUGGAUCAGAGUCAAGCCUCAACCAGCAUCAGUUGCAGGGGGGCAAAAGCCUUUCCUAUUGCACAAGGGAACACGCACAGGAAGAGAAGUUGGUGCUGUGGCCCAGCAUAAAUCAGCUCUUGAAAUUAAGACUUUGCUCCAGUGAUGACUAAUCUCUUUGCAUAAUUCCCCUCUGGAUGUUUUGGAUACAAACACGUUGUUUCUCCUGUAGUGCCAGAUUUCAGAGGGUCUUUCUUACUAUUCAUGUCAAAUCUAGUUGGGCUGCAAGUCUGUCUCAAUAAAACGAAAAAAUUGCUCAUAUCUGGAGACUUAGACAUACAAAUGUUUUCAGAAGAACACAUCUCCCAUUUUAAAACAUAUGUUUCCUCCUUUGUAUCUGUUUUGUCUUUGGUUUUUUGCAAGCUUCUUAGGAAAUGUGUUGGCAUGAACAAUAUGUUUCAAGCAAAGACAGCAAAUACUUUCAGACAACAAAGUUUUUAAAAGUCAUAAUGUUUGAUUCAUCGUGGUAAACAUCUGAUUUAUUUACUUUCUGUCCAGGAAGAGCAUCAUAGUAUUGCCCAAGACUGAAAGGCCCAGAAAACUGUUACAAUCCUGAACAUCAAAUGCUGUAAAUUAUCUGUACCAUGCACUACAGCCAAAAGCUGUUCACAGAAGGGUUUGCUAUCAUGACUCACUUCCAGGGAAGUUGUCUUCUGCUCAGUAGAAUUUUAGGUGCCCAAAGGGAACAAAAGAUGCAAAAUUAAUCAAAUACUAAUUCUUAAUUGUUCACCCUCUUCCAACAUCCCCAGAGGUGACCCAUUGGCUGGAUAAACCCCACUGAUUCUCUGCAGGGCAAAAGAGGAGAGGUAAAAGCAGAAUAAGACUUCUCUGUGCCUUUGGAGCAAUAUUUAUUUGUACUUCCCCAAAUCAUCCACCUGCCAGCAUGAUAGUCACUUGUUUCCUAAUCUUUCCACCUAAAACCAGAUCCACUACAGGAAAUGGGGACUGAACAGAGUAGCAACAAGGAGUAAACAGGGAUUUCUGAGCCUGUUCUGCAGAGGAUGCUGGUCCAGCCUCCAGAAUGCUUGAGGGUCAUCUGGCUGGAGGUCAUCUGGUCCAAGCAGUCACCUAGAGUGUGUGGCCAGACUGUGUCCAGAUGGCUUUUGAAUAUUUCCAAGGAUGGAGAAUCCAAAACCUCCUCAGGCAACCCAUGCCAGUGCUCAGUCACCCCCACCAUCAUUCUGCCCAUAGUUCAGAUUUGCAUCAGCCAUGAAAAGCCUGAGACAGAGACAAGAUUGUCAGAGAAAUUAAAUUCACACCUUCAGCCUCACCUUGCCAGGCUAAAGCAGGAGCUGAAACAGCCCAUGGGCUUUGGUCAAUAAGCAAGCAACUGUUAAUUCAGUGAGUUUGGUGGAUUCCCCUUCUGCAGAUUCAAGCCCACUUGAGAAAUUUGUUGAGAUCCAGGAAAUGCCUCUAGGAAUCUUUCCUUUAAAGUCCUUACAGAUUAUAUCUGACACAAGCCAGAACAGUCUCUGCUCUCAAAAUUCACUAAAAAAUUUGAAAAAUUAGCUUUAUGUUUUGUUCCCGAUCUUUUGUAUGGGACAAAGUUUCCCUCUCAAGUAAUCUGUACCAGGUCCAACCCAACAUGUGUUACCUUUUCCAGUUUAUAUCCCUGCUCUCUGCGCUCUGGGUCACAGAGCUGGGUCCAGGCUCAGUGAGCUGCAGAGAUGUUCUCUGUACACUGUUCCCUUGUGAAGAACACCUCAGCCCUGAGAGGAACAACUGUGCACUGUUUUAUUUCCACUGUCUGCUCCCAAGCACCUUCAUCAGAGGCGUCGAGUUAGGAGUUAAUUAAACUGACAGCACUGCUUCACUGCAGUUCAGUGCUAAACAAUUGAACUUUUAUCUGAUCCAAUUUCUCAGAAGCAAAACCAGGCAGUGCCUGGUUAGAGAGGGAGAUCUGGAAAACACAGUCCCAGGUCAGCGGGGCUGUGCUCCCUGUGCAUCACUGCAGCCAAGACACGGAGCACAUCAACAGCAGAGUGUGGCUGUGCUGGGCGUGGGGCACUUGGAUGUGGAGCUGGGGAUGGCAAAGGGUCAGGGAGACUGAGGAGGUAUAAAUGGGGGAAUUCACCUGAGACUUGACCUGGGGAAAUCCUGUUCAAGAGAGUUAUUUGAGCUCUUAAUCAGAAUCAGGGAGAAAUGCCAAUUCAAGCAUUUGUGAGGUGUUGGGAUUUUUUAACAAACUGUUUAAAAUCACAGGAUGCAACAACCCUGUUUAGUAUUUUUUGCUUAUUAAAAAAAAAAAUAUCCCUAAAUUACAUCUAAAGACACAGCUCAGAUGCUCAGAAUUAUCUGUUGCCAGCUCACAUGGGCAUGUCGUUUCUAUUGUAAAAUCACAGCUUGACUGAGCAUGGUGGGGUCACCAUGCUUCUCUCACAGCCUCUGUGUCUGGGGCUCUGGGCAGGUUGCCUCUGAAAUGAACUUGUACUGUGACUCAGUGGUGAGUCGAAGUGAGCUGACCCUCGUUUCUCAAGGAAUAGAAUGACACGAAAACCUUAUUACCACAUUGAGAUAAUAGGCUUGGGUAGGAUAAAGUGAAGAUGCAAUUUUAUAAUGUCAGCUCACUUUAUCUGAAAAACAAUGAAAGAAAUCUUGCUCCAUCUCUAUUGAUACAUUUCAUUUUGUACAUAAAAAUGUGCUUCACUUGAAUUUCAGCUUUGUUUAGAAAAAAAAAAAACCACAAAUAAAUCACUGUCCCUUUUUGCUUAUAUUUCCUUACAUGCAUCUGAAAUUUUACUUAAAAAAAAAAAAAAAAAAAAAAAA